ACCGAGUUUACAACUCCCAAACCCAAUGUGAACGUUACCAAACUGUUGCCUCGGCGGGAUCUCUGCCCCGGGUGCGUCGCAGCCCCGGACCAAGGCGCCCGCCGGAGGACCAACCAAAACUCUUAUUGUAUACCCCCUCGCGGGUUUUUUUAUAAUCUGAGCCUUCUCGGCGCCUCUCGUAGGCGUUUCGAAAAUGAAUCAAAACUUUCAACAACGGAUCUCUUGGUUCUGGCAUCGAUGAAGAACGCAGCGAAAUGCGAUAAGUAAUGUGAAUUGCAGAAUUCAGUGAAUCAUCGAAUCUUUGAACGCACAUUGCGCCCGCCAGUAUUCUGGCGGGCAUGCCUGUCCGAGCGUCAUUUCAACCCUCGAACCCCUCCGGGGGGUCGGCGUUGGGGAUCGGCCCUCCCUUAGCGGGGUGGCCGUCUCCGAAAUACAGUGGCGGUCUCGCCGCAGCCUCUCCUGCGCAGUAGUUUGCACACUCGCAUCGGGAGCGCGGCGCGUCCACAGCCGUUAAACACCCAACUUCUGAAAUGUUGACCUCGGAUCAGGUAGGAAUACCCGCUGAACUUAAGCAUAUCAAUAA
This 583-nucleotide ribosomal RNA is filed under the name Trichoderma harzianum. RNAcentral describes it as "eukaryotic LSU rRNA". The stretch from base 203 to 356 matches the Rfam family "5.8S ribosomal RNA". Lineage: Eukaryota; Fungi; Ascomycota; Sordariomycetes; Hypocreales; Hypocreaceae. The record is from RNAcentral.